GUAGAGAUCAGAUUGUCGACUGCGGGGAAAAAAUCGAGAGAGAGAGAGAGAGAGAAUGGGUAGGUUAGUCGGAGUGACUGCAGCUCCGUUCACGUAUGCAUCGCACGUGCUGGGGUUGGCGGCGGCGGUGCUCGUGCUCGUUUGGUGCAUCAAUUUUCGGGGAGGCCUCGCCUUUGAGGCCACCAACAAGAAUCUCAUCUUCAAUAUUCAUCCAGUUCUCAUGCUGAUCGGCUUUAUUAUCCUCGGGGGUGAAGCAAUAAUGAGCUAUAGAGGUCUUCCAUGGAGUAAAGAAGUAAAGAAAUUGAUCCAUUUGAUUCUCCAUGGGAUUGCGAUUGUUCUUGGUGCUGUGGGAAUCUAUGCUGCCUUCAAAUUUCACAAUGAAAGUGGAAUUGCCAAUCUUUACAGCUUGCACUCUUGGCUUGGACUUGGUACAAUCUGUUUAUACGGCAUUCAGUGGAUUUUUGGGUUUGUAACCUUCUUCUUCCCUGGAGCUGCACCAAAUAUAAGACGUGAUGCACUUCCAUGGCACGUGCUGUUGGGGCUCUUUGUUUACAUACUUGCCGUCGCUACUGCUCAACUCGGGCUUCUUGAGAAGCUCACCUUCCUCCAGAGUUCAGGGCUUGCGAAAUAUGGUACUGAAGCGUACUUGGUUAAUUUCACUGCCCUUGUUGUGGUAUUGCUCGGCACAUCAGUUGUGAUAUCGGCCAUUGCCCCUGUUCAUGUUGAAGACGCAGUUGGUUAUAGCUCCAUAUCGGAGAGUUAAAUACGCAUUACUAAAUGUCUAAAUGCGAACAUAGUAUUACUUACUAUGGUGAAUUAUAUUUGGUGCGUGUAUGAGAUUAGAUGCUCUCUCUGCGUGUGCAAGUGUUUUCUUAUCUCUUGGGUGAAAAUUAUACUGAGAACAGCCGCUGUUAUAGAGCAUCAGUGGAGAAUUUCAUGGCAUUUGUGUCUUCUUUCCAGCGAAUUCGACGCUGCCGCCGACAGAUGCCGUGGCAGUCUAUGGUCCUUACUCUGGACCGUGACAGUGUUUGCUGGCCGCACACCGUCGAACUGCUGCUGCUUCUUCGCUACUGCUGCUUUUAUCCUUCGCUGUUUGUUGCUUCUAUGUUAGAGCCACAUCAACCAUCCAAUGAUACAGGUUUUCAGUUUGAAAAUCCAAAAAUAAAAUUUGAGUCGAAGUAUCCGCAUUUUUUGGAUA
Molecule: RNA transcript, 1198 nt
Organism: Asparagus officinalis (garden asparagus)
Lineage: Eukaryota; Viridiplantae; Streptophyta; Magnoliopsida; Asparagales; Asparagaceae
Gene name: probable ascorbate-specific transmembrane electron transporter 1
Exons: 5
Source: RefSeq, a predicted model, not a curated record